This 497-nucleotide ribosomal RNA is filed under the name uncultured bacterium. Its description in RNAcentral is "partial 16S ribosomal RNA". It matches the Rfam family "Bacterial small subunit ribosomal RNA", at positions 28 to 507 of the family's 1533-position model. The record is from RNAcentral.
GAUGAACGCUGGCGGCGUGCCUAAUACAUGCAAGUCGAGCGAACAGACGAGGAGCUUGCUCCUCUGACGUUAGCGGCGGACGGGUGAGUAACACGUGGAUAACCUACCUAUAAGACUGGGAUAACCUCGGGAAACCGGAGCUAAUACCGGAUAAUAUAUUGAACCGCAUGGUUCAAUAGUGAAAGACGGUUUUGCUGUCACUUAUAGAUGGAUCCGCGCCGCAUUAGCUAGUUGGUAAGGUAACGGCUUACCAAGGCAACGAUGCGUAGCCGACCUGAAAGGGGGGACGGCCAGCCGAGAAAUGAGGCACAGUCCAGACUCCUGAGGGGGGCAGCAGUAGGGAAUCUUCCGCAAUGGGCGAAAGCCUGACGGAGCAACGCCGCGUGAGUGAUGAAGGUCUUCGGAUCGUAAAACUCUGUUAUUAGGGAAGAACAAAUGUGUAAGUAACUAUGCACGUCUUGACGGUACCUAAUCAGAAAGCCACGGCUAACUACGUG